Neofelis nebulosa (Clouded leopard) is the source of this 505-nucleotide long non-coding RNA. RefSeq lists it as uncharacterized. Lineage: Eukaryota; Metazoa; Chordata; Mammalia; Carnivora; Felidae. The transcript is spliced from 4 exons. The record is from RefSeq and is a predicted model, not a curated record.
UUCCUUGGUGUUGAGCUACUGCUUGGCCCAUGACACCGGUCUUGGAAGCUGGCUUCAUUUCACCAUCUGCCACAAGGGGGUGCUUGAUACAGGCUGGAAGACUGGGGGAGCCCCCUGACCGCAUUCUUCCAGAAAAGCCUGGGGAAAUUUCAGAUUCCGGAGAAGUGGCUUGGAUAUCGCUCCCACCAACACAUCCAGAUUGUCGAAAGUAAUAGGCAACAGUCACAUUUCAGGAUCCAGACAGAUUUUCAGAAGCAGGGCAACCCCUUCUUGUGUAGCAGUUGGGUCUGGCUCUGAGGAGGAAGAAAUCAUGGAUCUUCUGGAAAGAACAUGGUCUUUGGACUUCACUCACUUGUAAAGAGUUUGGGACCUUGGUCAAGUUACAUAAGCUUUUGUGUCUUCUCUGUUUCCUUCUCUCUAACUGGUUAGCCUUUAUUUUAGGUGCUUCAUGGGGUUCAGAGUUGCAUAACACAAAGAAACUGCCCCCAGAAAUCUCAGUGAAGAC